GCUAAUACAUGCAAGUCGAGCGAACUGAUUAGAAGCUUGCUUCUAUGACGUUAGCGGCGGACGGGUGAGUAACACGUGGGCAACCUGCCUGUAAGACUGGGAUAACUUCGGGAAACCGAAGCUAAUACCGGAUAGGAUCUUCUCCUUCAUGGGAGAUGAUUGAAAGAUGGUUUCGGCUAUCACUUACAGAUGGGCCCGCGGUGCAUUAGCUAGUUGGUGAGGUAACGGCUCACCAAGGCAACGAUGCAUAGCCGACCUGAGAGGGUGAUCGGCCACACUGGGACUGAGACACGGCCCAGACUCCUACGGGAGGCAGCAGUAGGGAAUCUUCCGCAAUGGACGAAAGUCUGACGGAGCAACGCCGCGUGAGUGAUGAAGGCUUUCGGGUCGUAAAACUCUGUUGUUAGGGAAGAACAAGUACGAGAGUAACUGCUCGUACCUUGACGGUACCUAACCAGAAAGCCACGGCUAACUACGUGCCAGCAGCCGCGGUAAUACGUAGGUGGCAAGCGUUAUCCGGAAUUAUUGGGCGUAAAGCGCGCGCAGGCGGUUUCUUAAGUCUGAUGUGAAAGCCCACGGCUCAACCGUGGAGGGUCAUUGGAAACUGGGGAACUUGAGUGCAGAAGAGAAAAGCGGAAUUCCACGUGUAGCGGUGAAAUGCGUAGAGAUGUGGAGGAACACCAGUGGCGAAGGCGGCUUUUUGGUCUGUAACUGACGCUGAGGCGCGAAAGCGUGGGGGAGCAAACAGGAUUAGAU
This 756-nucleotide ribosomal RNA is filed under the name Priestia megaterium. RNAcentral describes it as "bacterial SSU rRNA". It matches the Rfam family "Bacterial small subunit ribosomal RNA", at positions 46 to 783 of the family's 1533-position model. Lineage: Bacteria; Bacillati; Bacillota; Bacilli; Caryophanales; Bacillaceae. The record is from RNAcentral.